RNAcentral lists this small RNA (226 nucleotides) under Otolemur garnettii (small-eared galago). RNAcentral describes it as "Metazoan signal recognition particle RNA (ENSOGAG00000030107.1)". The record is from RNAcentral. Lineage: Eukaryota; Metazoa; Chordata; Mammalia; Primates; Galagidae.
GCCGGGCGUUGUGGCGGGCGCCUGUGGUCCCAGCUACUUGGGAGGCGAAGGCAGGAGACUCGCUUGAGCCCAGGAGUUGGAGGUUGCUGUGAGCUGUAAUGCCACGGCACUCUACCCAGGGGGACAGCUUGAGGCUCUGUCUCAAAAAAAAAAAAAAAAAAAAAAGUACUGUGGUGUUACAGCUCACAGCAACCUCAAACUCUUGGGCUUAAGCAAUUCUCUUGCC